GAUGAACGCUGGCGGCGUGCCUAAUACAUGCAAGUCGAGCGAACGGACGAGAAGCUUGCUUCUCUGAUGUUAGCGGCGGACGGGUGAGUAACACGUGGAUAACCUACCUAUAAGACUGGGAUAACUUCGGGAAACCGGAGCUAAUACCGGAUAAUAUUUUGAACCGCAUGGUUCAAAAGUGAAAGACGGUCUUGCUGUCACUUAUAGAUGGAUCCGCGCUGCAUUAGCUAGUUGGUAAGGUAACGGCUUACCAAGGCAACGAUGCAUAGCCGACCUGAGAGGGUGAUCGGCCACACUGGAACUGAGACACGGUCCAGACUCCUACGGGAGGCAGCAGUGGGGAAUCUUCCGCAAUGGGCGAAAGCCUGACGGAGCAACGCCGCGUGAGUGAUGAAGGUCUUCGGAUCGUAAAACUCUGUUAUUAGGGAAGAACAUAUGUGUAAUUAACUGUGCACAUCUUGACGGUACCUAAUCAGAAAGCCACGGCUAACUACGUG
RNAcentral lists this ribosomal RNA (497 nucleotides) under uncultured bacterium. RNAcentral describes it as "partial 16S ribosomal RNA". It matches the Rfam family "Bacterial small subunit ribosomal RNA", at positions 28 to 507 of the family's 1533-position model. The record is from RNAcentral.